AUUUUAUGCUGGGUUCAGCUGAGCAGUUUUCUGCCAGUCAUAGGUGUCUCUGCUGGGCUCUCCCAUGCUCUGCCAGGAAAGCUGGGGGCUGGCUCUCUCACAUCACUGGAGCCUUGGCUGGGACAGUUCAUCCCUGCUCCAUGGGGUCUCUCAUUAUCCAGGAGGCUAGCCUGGGCUUCUUCACACAGCCAUCUCAGGGUCCAAAGAACAGCAAGAGAAGACAAGGAGAUUUCGGGCAAUACUGCAUUCACUACAGACAAGUCUGCUUCUGGAGAGACAUGCUACUGAUAGCAAAGAAGGAAGAACAGAAAAGAAAACCAAAAGAGGAAGAAGCACAAGCUGACCAGCAUGGAGAAACUCCAGACUGCUUCUCCCCACUCGGCCCCUCUCUAGUACUCCAGCCUCAUUUUGUCUUAGCUUUGAUACAGCCUCUUCACUCUGGUCACUCCUAUCAUGUGCCUGACAAAAAAGUGGGUCAUAGGAAUGCUCAAAAUGGAAGGAAUCCAGUUACAACCCGGAAGGUCUUUCUUCCCCUCCCAAUCACUCUCACCUGUGACCUACAAGUGACCUACAAGUGACUACAAGUGGAAGGGUAAGGCUUCCAAGCAGGUUCUCUUUGUAAGCUGAACAAUCAAAAUCACUUGCAUUGUUGAUACAUUUUCUUGGCAACACCCACUUAGAUUUCAUUUUUUGGAUAUUAACAGCAACUGUUUUCUUUUUGCUCACAGGAGGGGCUCUUGUCCAACAUGAAAGUCCACUGAAAUCCAAACGGGCACCCCUGCUCCAGGGAAGGUUUGAGCAAGGAUAGCUCUGAUUAACUUGGUGCUUCUCUAUUGGGAAGUUCUAGAAAGGACCAGGUUGAUGAAACUUCCUCUACUGGAUCUUUUCCAAAUGACUUUCAUCAUUUGUUAGAAGUGAAUUCUAGCUGAAACCUAGUCUUAUUGAAAAGUAAGUUUAAAUGUGUACAUCAAAGACAAAAGGGGCAAGAACAAGGCAGGGAUGGGCCAUUCCCUCUAUAGUGAAGAUAAGGGAGCAACCGUUUCUUGCGCACUCUCAUUGUCAAGAGUGGCGGCAAUAAUAACAACAACAAUAAUAAUAAUGCAUAAAGCAAGUGUUCCAUUAAUAUUUUCUUUCAAAAAAAUUGAAAUGCUUCAUAGAAAUCUCCACGAGCUGGAGUUCACCUCUCACGGAUGGACAAUAACAUGAGCAAACUCUUGUAGCUGGCCUUGGCUACACUGUGUGGGAGGUAAACAACUGCUCUCUUUCAUCCCAGGUAGAGAGGUUCAGACACUUCUGGGCCAAACAGAGUAGAAGAGUCUGUAUGCUGUGUUUUGUUUUGUUUUGUUUCAGUUAGUAAAUAUAACUACCAUUAGCCAUAAGUACAUGUUAUUCACAUAUUAAAAAUUUUUUUUAAUUUUUUUCUUUAUUCUAUAGGGAAUAAAAAGCCGUUCAAGUUUCUGAUAAAGCAAAUGACAUUCUCCAACUUGUGCGCAGGAAGAUAACUCUGGUGGCUGUGUGAAGGAUGAACGGGCUGAUGGAGACACUGAAGGUGAGGCAGAUAAGGAGCUUCUUACAAAAGAUGGUGCCAAGCCAAACUAGGAUAAACACAGAAAGGGGAGGAGGUGAGAGAUAAAAGAAAUAUGGCAAAGAAUAAAAAUCACUAGCAGUUAGCUACUGAUCAAGGUGAGAGAGAGCGAGGCAGAGAAAUGAAGCCUGGAGGAGAAAGACAUGCAUGGAAAAGUUGCAGAGCAAGAAUAAAUUCUGUGAUGGUGUUACAGAUGCUCAUGAACCCUGCCCAGGUGCCCCAGCGAAGGGUGAACACCCACUAGGACCUGCUCAAAAGGCGGGGCUGAUACCUGCCUCAAACCAAAAGGGGAGAAGUGAGCCCACUGGCAUACCAACAUACGAAAAAGCACACAUUUGGAGUUAGUUGCCUGGGUUUGAGUACCUGCUUACCCUCCCUUCUCCCCACAAGCCUCAAGCAGCCCAGGGCAGGCUACUAACCCUACUGAAGCCAAAGCUUCCUGAUCUGAAAAUGAAGACAAUAUGCCCUGUAGCGCUGUUAGGAAAAUAAACAGUCGCAUGCAAGAUGGCACCUACUGCAGGCCUGGCAUAUAUCAGGGGCUGAACAAUUAGUAAGAGUUCUCAUCAGCCACACAAAUGUUCCUAUGCGGGGCUCAGAAAGAAUGCAUGACUUUCCCAAGGUGAUGCAGCAUAUUAGUAACAAAACCAGAACUCAGUGUCAGUUUGUCUGAAUUAUCUUCCCUGUAAGCUCUAUUUCCCAAAAAGCAAGAACAUGCGCCGCUUUCUCCUGCACAGCUUCACGUUCUCCGUGUCCUUAGCAUACUUUGUUUUCAGAUCCUGGUCAACAAACAAGGCAAAACACUAAAGACGACUUUCAUUCCCAAUAUGAAAACACUUUUCUGUUGAUACAGCGUCUUUUAUCAUUUUCCUUAGCCCACGUAACAACUUUUUUUGAAAUUCUGAAUGACACAAUUUACUGCAUUGUUUUUGUCAUCUAUUGUUACAAAAGGGCCCCAGAAUUUACUGGCUCAAAGGGACAAUUUGUUAUUUCCAUCAGUUCUGUACCUUGUCUGGGCUCAGAUGGAGGGUUCUCCUGCUCCACGUGGUACUGGCUGGGUCACUUUUGCGGCUACAUUCAUCUGAGAGCUCAAUCAGAAAGUGGAAAGCCCAAAAUGCCUUCACUCAUACAGCUGCUGCCGGAAUAGCCAGGGGCUGGCUGGGUCUCUCUCUCUCUUCACAUUCUUGGCUGUCUGGCCCAAGCUUCUUUACAAAGCAGCUGGGUCCCAAGGGGUGAAGCAGAAGUUUUCGGAGAGCUUCAGGCCAGGGCUCAAAGUCCAGAAGGUCACCUCCACAGCAUUACAUUGGUCAAAGCAAAUCCCAAGGCCAGGCCAGGUGCAAGGGGAGGGAAACAGACUCCACCUCUUGACAUACACACACUCCCACCAGGAAAGGGAGGAAUUGUCAGGAGGAAGUGUUGGUGGCCAUCUUUGAAAGCAUUUACCAAAACCAUUAUUUGUUGGGGCCAGCCCAGCAGCAUAGUGGUUAAGUUCAUGUGCUCUGCUUUUGUGGCCCUGGUUCACUGGUUCCAAUCACAGGUGCAGACCUAUGCCCUGCUCAUCAAGUCAUUCUGUGGCAGGCAUCCCACAUAUAAAGUAGACGAAGAUGGGCACAGAUGUUAUCUCAGGGCCACUCUCCCUCAGCAAAAAGAGGAGGAUUGGCGGCAGAUGUUAGCUCAGGGCCACUCUUCCUCAAAAAUAAAAAAGAAAGAAACAUUAUUUGUAAAAUCUGGGCUUCAGAGGCAAUAGUAAACUAUUUUGUUACAACUUUUUAGAAAGUAUCUCAUCCAUUGAUAAACUAAACUUGUUUUUUCUAAAUGUCUUUUACCCUUGAUUUCCCAGGAAGCAUAUAUUUGAGGAUCGUAGCAGGGUGGGUGUGGCCUUCAAAAAGAUGUCCAAAUCCCCAGAACCUGUGAACGACCUUAUUUGGAAAAAGUCUUUGCAGAUGUCAUUAAAUUAACAAUUUUGAGACAAGCUCAUUCUGGAUGUCCCAGGUGGGCCCUAAAUCCAACGACAAGUGUUCUUGGAAGAGACACAAGAGGAGAAAACACACAGCAGAGGAGGAGACGUGAAGACAGAGACAGAGAUCAGAGUGGCGUGGUCACAAGCCAAGGAAGCCAGGAACGUCCACAGCCAGCAGCAGCGGAAGCGGCAAAGGAUGCUCCCCCAGCCUCCAGAGGCAGUAUGGCCCUACACACGCAUUCAUUUCAGGCUUCUGCCCUCUAGAACCUGAGAGAAUAAAUUUUUCAUUUUAAGCCACCCCGUUUUCAGUAAUUUUUUACAGCAGCCACAGGAAACUAAAUACAAGGAUCGUCCCUCUUUAUACUUAAGACUAAACGUUUCACUCCCAUUUUAGGAUGGUGGUUUUUAGGGCAAUGGCUGUGACUCUUGGCUCCUGCUGUCCCCACCCACUCAGCAGAGACACGGAGGAAGGCCCCUUACCUGAAAACUCAGCCUUGUCCACGUCUUCAGCCACUCCUGACAGAAACACGUAGAACGCCAGAAGCCUCUGUUUCACCAGAUCCUUCUAGAAACAGUCUUGCUACUCAAAGUUCCCAGAGCCACAGCCCCUCCCUUCGCCCAUUUCCCGCAUCCACAGGAUGGGCCCAGGCUUCGGAUCACGGAGCUGAAGUUGCAGCGCCACGACCUAUGACCUUCGGUAACUUACAUAAAUUCUCAGAGCUGCAGUUUCGUUCUCGGUAAAAUCUGAAGAUAUUACCUUCCUCGUAGAGCUAUUUAAAGAACUAAAUAGGGGCCCGGGCUAUUACUGCGGAAGUUGUGGCAGGCUGGGAUGCUCCUCAAAAUCGCGGAGGGCGCCUGGGGCUACGAGCCAGGACUUACUCCUCGGCAAGGCAGUACUUCGCACAGGCGCCCUGUGAGAAGCUGGACUGCCCCUCUCGCCCACACAGGUGCCAGGUGAGCGGCUGGCAGGCUCCUCUCAUCCACGCAGGCACCCUGUGAGAGGUUCCGUGGCCCCUCUCGCCCACGCAGGCGCGCUGUAAGCGUCUCUGAGUCUCCUCUCUCCCACGCAGGCGCCCUGUGAGCCGCUCAGCGUCGUCUCUCAUUCACGCAGGCGCCCUCUGAGCUGCUCAGCUGCCCGUCUCACUCACGCAGGCGCAAACCCAGGUGGUCUACGUUGGCAGAGUUUCCUCGGCCGUCCGCACCGCAACUCCUGGAGCCCCGAGGCUGCCAGGCCCUUCACGUGCGAUCUCAGGCGUUGGUGAUGAUGGGCAGGGCCACCCUGCAGCGCACGUCUGACCCUGGCCGUGGUGAGGCCACGCCCGACGCCAACUACACAGUGUUCGACUUUGAUGCCUUCUGCCAGGCGCGCUACAGAAGCAGCCAGAGCAAGGAUGGUGCCGGAGAGCCCAGGCUAUGUUCCAGGAAGAAGCUCUAAGCAACAACUGACCUGGAUCCAACCACUCUGAACAGGACCACACUGUCCCAGACCACAGCCACAAGACUGACACCUGCACAGACAGGCAGAGUUGUACUAAAAUAACCUGCCCUCCUUAAUGUUUGGAAUUCUCCUCCUCUGGGAGGGGCAAAGCAGCCACUUUUAGAUCCUGUGAUGUGUGUAAAAGCAUGAUUUCAAACCACGUGUCCAAGCUUAUGCCCACUUCUACAUGUGAUGAUGAAACUUCCCCUUUGAAUAGUCAUUCCCUCUCCCAAAUAAAGGUACCCACGUCCCAGUGCUGGGGGAGCCAUUGCUUUGUGAAAUUAUUCUCUAUGGUCUCCAUUUUCUUUGCUGCAUGCCACAAAUAAAAUGUCUGCUUUGUGUGACAACUACUUCUGGUGUAGUUUAACUCCCAAGAAGGGGACUCAUGUUUGGUCUGGUAACAAUUCUUCCUUGGUCAGAGUCAGACCCCAUUCCCACUUCUGUUGGUGGCAUGUGGGAGUGAGAGAGCAUGGUCAUUGAGUAAGGAAUGAAUGUUCCUGUGCCCAUACUUAUCUAAUGUAUGACCUUGGAGAAGGUACUCUGUGGGCAUGACAGCAGAGGAGCAAAUCAUUUGCACUCUUGAGGUCUGUCACACUUUAUUAUCCAUAGUGCUAAUGGGCUGAGUGAUUAAAACAUUAUGCUAGUAGGGCCAGAUUCAUCCUUAGCACAGUGUGCCUACCAUCCGAUCAUCCCUUUACCAGCCAGCCCCAUUGCUAACUGUGUAGACCAUCCCCUCUCAGAAAUAGAGCAACAGACUGGGAGUUUGAGUCAUUUGAGUGUGGCCCAUCCUCCUAUUUAGGUUGCAGUGCUUUUGUAGGAUCCAGAAGCCAAGCCUUUGAAACACCGCUGCUUGAGGCUGUGGGGAGUUUGGGGAGUUUGGAGUAGAUGGGACUACUGAAGGACAGGAGGCACAUAGUGGAAACUCCGUAGCUUAUUCAGAGCUCGCUGAGGCUUUUCUUUUCUUUAUUUUUGUGGUAGGCAGUUGGUCAUCGCUUGCUAGAGCUGUAGUAGUCAGCUCUCUCAACCCUGAGUCACUGCACAUGGGGAGUGGCUUUGUUGUGAGAUUGUAG
This 6089-nucleotide long non-coding RNA is filed under the name Equus caballus (horse). RNAcentral's name for it is "lncRNA (ENSECAG00000042368.2)". The record is from RNAcentral. Lineage: Eukaryota; Metazoa; Chordata; Mammalia; Perissodactyla; Equidae.